CUACGGGUGGCUGCAGUGAGGAAUAUUGCACAAUGGGGGGAACCCUGAUGCAGCAACGCCGCGUGGAGGAUGACGCAUUUCGGUGUGUAAACUCCUUUUAUAUGUCAAGAAAAUGACGGUAGCAUAUGAAUAAGCACCGGCUAACUCCGUGCCAGCAGGCCGCGGUAAUACGGAGGGUGCAAGCGUUACUCGGAAUCACUGGGCGUAAAGGGCGCGUAGGCGGGUUGGAAAGUCAGGUGUGAAAUCCUACAGCUUAACUGUAGAACUGCACUUGAAACUUCUAAUCUAGAGUAUGGGAGGGGGAGAUGGAAUUAGUGGUGUAGGGGUAAAAUCCGUAGAUAUCACUAGGAAUACCUAAAGCGAAGGUGAUCUCCUGGAACAUUACUGACGCUAAGGCGUGAAAGCGUGGGGAGCAAACAGGAUUAGAUACCCUGGUAGUC
RNAcentral lists this ribosomal RNA (440 nucleotides) under uncultured bacterium. RNAcentral's name for it is "partial 16S ribosomal RNA". It matches the Rfam family "Bacterial small subunit ribosomal RNA", at positions 339 to 795 of the family's 1533-position model. The record is from RNAcentral.